Molecule: ribosomal RNA, 253 nt
Filed under: uncultured bacterium
Lineage: Bacteria
Description: partial 16S ribosomal RNA
Rfam family: Bacterial small subunit ribosomal RNA
Source: RNAcentral
UACGAAGGGGGCAAGCGUUGUUCGGAAUUACUGGGCGUAAAGGGCUCGUAGGCGGCCAACUAAGUCGGAUGUGAAAUCCCCAAGCUUAACUUGGGAACUGCAUCCGAUACUGGAUGGCUUGAAUCCGGGAGAGGGAUGCAGAAUUCCAGGUGUAGCGGUGAAAUGCGUAGAUAUCUGGAGGAACACCGGUGGCGAAGGCGGCAUCCUGGACCGGUAUUGACGCUGAGGCGCGAAAGCCAGGGGAGCAAAUGGG